ACCUUCAAAUUGUUCAUGAAAGAUCGGAUUUCCUUGACUGGCUCGUGAGCAACUUACUAGACAAGUUCUAUUUGAAUUCCCUUUCUCCUGCUGCUUCUUUGGCUGAAACCAGUCGGUCUGCUCACAGAAUCCUUGAUUUGCGCUCUAAAGCCGCUUUUCAAUCUAAGUCUUUUGUCUAUCUCUCUUUGAGACUAGGAAUAAAGAGAUUCGGAUACUGGCUUGCUGCUAGCUGGCGAAGGUACUUUUCCCGGGUAAUUUUCUCUUUCAAAACUGCUUGGAACUUCAUUAGAAGCCAAUCGAAUCCUGUUGAGUGGAUCUCGUUUUGACAUUCUCCCUGUCCCCCUUGGGCUGGGUCUUGGCUCUUGUUCUUGUGCUCCCUCUCUCUUUAUUCUCGCCCGGCCUUCAAUGCUUUGAAACCCGCUAACACCCCCUUUCAAACAUACUCUUUGCGAUUCUAUCUAUCUCUUAUGUAAGACUUAAUCAAGGAUGCCUCAGUCGGAGGAGAGAGACUGACUAAGUCGAUUCUAAGAAGCAAGCAAGAAGGCACUCCUAAGCGCAGAAAGCAGUGAGCCGGGGGCCUAGCCUUGAUUCAUUCUUCUUCCCAGUUCCCAGAUCGGAACCGGAGAAUAGAAAUUCAUUAUGUUGAUUAACCUUUUUCAGAGCACAGGGCAGAUGGGAAGAAUAGCUAUAUUUCGUAUCCAAGCCCAAGCAGCAAGGGCGUUAAGGCUUUCUUUUCUUGCUUGAAUCAACUUCCUAAACCUCUUCCUGCUCAUUGACUAUUGGGAUAACUUGAAUAUGACUAUGUUAAGGUUUAAGAUAACCCGGG
RNAcentral lists this long non-coding RNA (826 nucleotides) under Lupinus mutabilis. RNAcentral describes it as "partial ncRNA". The record is from RNAcentral. Lineage: Eukaryota; Viridiplantae; Streptophyta; Magnoliopsida; Fabales; Fabaceae.